CCUACGGGAGGCAGCAGUGGGGAAUAUUGGACAAUGGGCGCAAGCCUGAUCCAGCCAUACCGCGUGUGUGAAGAAGGCCUUUUGGUUGUAAAGCACUUUAAGCGAGGAGGAGGCUCUUGAGGAUAAUACCCUUGAUGAGUGGACGUUACUCGCAGAAUAAGCACCGGCUAACUCUGUGCCAGCAGCCGCGGUAAUACAGAGGGUGCGAGCGUUAAUCGGAAUUACUGGGCGUAAAGCGCGCGUAGGCGGCUUGUUAAGUCGGAUGUGAAAUCCCCGGGCUCAACCUGGGCACUGCAUUCGAUACUGGCAAGCUAGAGUAUGGGAGAGGAAGGUAGAAUUCCAGGUGUAGCGGUGAAAUGCGUAGAGAUCUGGAGGAAUACCGAUGGCGAAGGCAGCCUUCUGGCCUAAUACUGACGCUGAGUGNGAAGACAUGGGAGGACAACAGGAGUAGUAUACCUACGGUAGUCAUGCCGUAACGAUGUC
RNAcentral lists this ribosomal RNA (483 nucleotides) under uncultured bacterium. RNAcentral describes it as "bacterial SSU rRNA". It matches the Rfam family "Bacterial small subunit ribosomal RNA", at positions 338 to 813 of the family's 1533-position model. The record is from RNAcentral.